CCUACGGGGUGCUGCAGUGGGGAAUAUUGGACAAUGGGCGAAAGCCUGAUCCAGCCAUGCCGCGUGUGUGAAGAAGGCCUUCGGGUUGUAAAGCACUUUCAGUGGGGAAGAAAGCCUUGGGGCUAAUACCCUCGAGGAAGGACAUCACCCACAGAAGAAGCACCGGCUAACUCCGUGCCAGCAGCCGCGGUAAUACGGAGGGUGCGAGCGUUAAUCGGAAUUACUGGGCGUAAAGCGCGCGUAGGCGGUCUGAUAAGCCGGUUGUGAAAGCCCCGGGCUCAACCUGGGAACGGCAUCCGGAACUGUCCGGCUAGAGUGCAGGAGAGGAAGGUAGAAUUCCCGGUGUAGCGGUGAAAUGCGUAGAGAUCGGGAGGAAUACCAGUGGCGAAGGCGGCCUUCUGGACUGACACUGACGCUGAGGUGCGAAAGCGUGGGUAGCAAACAGGAUUAGAUACCCGAGUAGUC
RNAcentral lists this ribosomal RNA (465 nucleotides) under Vreelandella stevensii. RNAcentral's name for it is "partial 16S ribosomal RNA". It matches the Rfam family "Bacterial small subunit ribosomal RNA", at positions 338 to 795 of the family's 1533-position model. The record is from RNAcentral. Lineage: Bacteria; Pseudomonadati; Pseudomonadota; Gammaproteobacteria; Oceanospirillales; Halomonadaceae.